AUAGCUAAGUGGGAAACGAUGUGGGAAGGCUCAGACAGCCAGGAUGUUGGCUUAGAAGCAGCCAUCAUUUAAAGAAAGCGUAAUAGCUCACUGGUCGAGUCGGCCUGCGCGGAAGAUGUAACGGGGCUAAGCUAUACACCGAAGCUGCGGCUACGUACCUUAGGGUAUGUGGGGUAGGGGAGCGUUCUGUAAGCCGUUGAAGGUGGUCUGUAAGGGCUGCUGGAGGUAUCAGAAGUGCGAAUGCUGACAUGAGUAACGAUAAAGGGAGUGAAAAACUCCCUCGCCGGA
This 288-nucleotide ribosomal RNA is filed under the name Photobacterium pectinilyticum. RNAcentral's name for it is "partial 23S ribosomal RNA". It matches the Rfam family "Bacterial large subunit ribosomal RNA", at positions 1055 to 1341 of the family's 2925-position model. The record is from RNAcentral. Lineage: Bacteria; Pseudomonadati; Pseudomonadota; Gammaproteobacteria; Vibrionales; Vibrionaceae.